AUGCCCGUGUAUACGCCCAGCCAGAGAGACAAGGACCCAGAAACACCCUCCAUGUGGAUACCCUCUCAAAAGACUUCCUUCCACACAUACAGAUACACCCUUAGAUACAUAUCCACACUCAUACACUCUCCAGGUCCAGCAAAAACUGUCAGGAGAGGUUGGGAGAACCCACCUAGGCAGCAAUGGACCUGGAGGUGCUAUGGCUUCCUGCUGCCUCCGGUGGGGGGGCCCUUCCCACCAGGCUCUGACUCCUCCCUGACCCUCCCUCUUUUCCUCCCUCCCUCCUGGCCUUGCCAGCAGCAAAAAUUGGAAAUGCCCUGGAUGGCUACAUCCCCCAGAAAGCGAACAAGAAAAAAUAAACACAGUUCAAUGAUGUAACAACAAUGGAGAAUAGCUACAGGCUCUUGAUAGAAGGAUAUAUGCAGGUCAGGAAGCAACAGUUAGAACUGGACAUGGAACAACAGACUGGUUCCAAAUAGGAAAAGGAGUAGGUCAAGGCUGUAUAUUGUCACCCUGCUUAUUUAGCUUCUAUGCAGAGUACAUCAUGAGAAAUGCUGGACUGGAAGAAGCACAAGCUGGAAUCAAGAUUGCUGGGAGAAAUAUCAAUAACCUCAGAUAUGCAGAUGACACCACCCUUAUGGCAGAAAGUGAAGAGGAACUCAAAAGCCUCUUGAUGAAAAAGUGAAAGAAGAGAGUGAAAAAGUUGGCUUAAAGCUCAACAUUCAGAAAACUAUCAUGGCAUCUGGUCCCAUCACUUCAUGGGAAAUAGAUGGAGAAACAGUGGAAACAGUGUCAGACUUUAUUUUUGGGGGCUCCAAAAUCACUGCAGAUGGCGACUGCAGCCAUGAAAUUAAAAGACGCUUACUCCUUGGAAGGAAAGUUAUGACCCAACUAGAUAGCAUAUUGAAAAGCAGAGAUGUUACUUUGCCAACAAAGGUCCGUCUAGUCAAGGCUAUGGUUUUUCCAGUGGUCAUGUAUGGAUGUGAGAGUUGGACUGUGAAGAAAGCUGAGCGCUGAAGAAUUGAUGCUUUUUAACUGUGGUAUUGGAGAAGGCUCUUGAGAGUCCCUUGGACUGCAAGAACAUCCAACCAGUCCAUCCUAAAGGAGAUCAGUCCUGGGUGUUCAUUGGAAGGACUGAUGCUAAAGCUGAAACUCCAGUACUUUGGCCUCAUGCUAAGAGUUGACUCAUUGGAAAAGACCCUGAUGCUGGGAGGGAUUGGGGGCAGGAGGAGAAGGGGACGACAGAGGAUGAGAUGGCUGGAUGGCAUCACCAACUCGAUGGACAUGAGUCUGGGUGAAUUCCGGGAGUUGGUGAUGGACAGGGAGGCCUGGCGUGCUGCAAUUCAUGGGGUCGCAAAGAGUCAGACACGACUGAGUGACUGAACUGAACUGAAGCCUGGCUGCUUACCAGGGGCAGUGUAAGCUCCCAUGAACUCAAAGGCCAGGGAAGAUGCAGAGACCCAACUUCUGCUUUCAAGAUGUGGCCAGAGUUUGCCACACUCUUGAGGCCGUAUCUGUCCUCACUUUUGUCACC
Molecule: long non-coding RNA, 1534 nt
Filed under: Bos grunniens (domestic yak)
Lineage: Eukaryota; Metazoa; Chordata; Mammalia; Artiodactyla; Bovidae
Description: lncRNA (ENSBGRG00000020986.1)
Source: RNAcentral